Molecule: ribosomal RNA, 464 nt
Filed under: uncultured bacterium
Lineage: Bacteria
Description: partial 16S ribosomal RNA
Rfam family: Bacterial small subunit ribosomal RNA
Source: RNAcentral
CUACGGGUCGCAGCAGUGGGGAAUAUUGCACAAUGGGCGCAAGCCUGAUGCAGCCAUGCCGCGUGUAUGAAGAAGGCCUUCGGGUUGUAAAGUACUUUCAGCGGGGAGGAAGGGAGUAAAGUUAGUACCUUUGCUCAUUGACGUUACCCGCAGAAGAAGCACCGGCUAACUCCGUGCCAGCAGCCGCGGUAAUACGGAGGGUGCAAGCGUUAAUCGGAAUUACUGGGCGUAAAGCGCACGCAGGCGGUUUGUUAAGUCAGAUGUGAAAUCCCCGGGCUCAACCUGGGAACUGCAUCUGAUACUGGCCAGCUUGAGUCUCGGAGAGGGGGGUAGAAUGCCAGGUGUAGCGGUGAAAUGCGUAGAGAUCUGGAGGAAUACCGGUGGCGAAGGCGGCCCCCUGGACGAAGACUGACGCUCAGGUGCGAAAGCGUGGGGAGCAAACAGGAUUAGAUACCCCCGUAGUC